AGCGCAUGCCUACCGGGAGGGCAGCAGUGGGGGAUAUUGCACAAUGGGGGAAACCCUGAUGCAGCGACGCCGCGUGGGUGAAGAAGUAUUUCGGUAUGUAAAGCCAUAUCAGCAGGGAAGAAAGAAGACGGUACCUGACUAAGAAGCCCCGGCUAACUACGUGCC
Molecule: ribosomal RNA, 165 nt
Filed under: uncultured bacterium
Lineage: Bacteria
Description: partial 16S ribosomal RNA
Rfam family: Bacterial small subunit ribosomal RNA
Source: RNAcentral